CGGACCUCAGAUCAGGCAAGACCACCCGCUGAGUUUAAG
This 39-nucleotide ribosomal RNA is filed under the name Diplasiolejeunea sp. Wilson et al. 04-06. RNAcentral's name for it is "partial 26S ribosomal RNA". Lineage: Eukaryota; Viridiplantae; Streptophyta; Jungermanniopsida; Porellales; Lejeuneaceae. The record is from RNAcentral.